This is a long non-coding RNA of Triticum aestivum (bread wheat), 2007 nucleotides long. RefSeq lists it as uncharacterized. NCBI's taxonomy places the organism in Eukaryota, Viridiplantae, Streptophyta, Magnoliopsida, Poales, Poaceae. The record is from RefSeq and is a predicted model, not a curated record. The transcript has 4 exons.
CUCUGCAUUUAUCCGUCACCUCACGAGCUCAUCCACGGCGCCUCUCUCCGUCACCCGCGUCGCCGCAGCCCCCCGCCUCUUCUUUCUUUCUCUCGGUGUCCAUCAGCUCCGGUGUUUCCAUGAUAGAUUGGAGGACGGGGAGGAGAAGGAAGGAGCCGCCGUAGUCAGCGCCAUGGUGGAUGAGGCAGGCAACAGAGGAGGAUGGGUAUGAAUCACAAGAAAGGUGGAAGUCAACAUUUGUUAGACAUGGCGUUUAAUUGUGCACAAGAAUGAAGUUCAAUAGCUUUUCCAGAUUUAACAAAUCAACAGGUGUUAUAUCCAUGCAAGAGGUACAUGCCGAUGCAUUGGAAGUCUUAUGUUUGUGGAAGGAGAAAGCAAGGAGAUCUCUUGGAGAAACUAUGGGGAUGGGACAGACUGCUAUCCAUCGGGGAUUCCGCCUUGUCGUGGUCCGACUACAGUGCCUACCUCGAGGAGUAUCGCCGUCGGAAUGUCGAUGCUGUUAGCAGCAUAGCUGCUCUAGCUCAGACUUGUCUCAUCAGUGAGGAGCAGCUUGUGUCCGAGUGGAAGACCCAGAUGAAAUCUCAAAAGGAUGUUAUCCUGCCGAUGAGGAAAUCGACCCUUCUGAGUUGCCUGAUCCACGAGCGUGCACGUUCAGUCGUCCACGCAGCAGGUCGUGGCUUUUCCAAUCUGCACGGUUCGGCUUUGUUGGUACGUUCCAUAAGAACACACCAAACAAUUAUCUUGUCUUUGAUCAUUUCAUAAUUAUUAUUAUUUUUUUGAGAAUCACCGGGGGAGGAGUCCCUCCACCUGAAUAUAUUGCUCAAAGUGGCUAUUAUGCCAGAGAGUGAUCCGGUUUAUAAGGAAAACCAAAUCGAAAACCUAAACAAUUUGGCUCCGUUUAUAAGAAAAACCGGGCCAAAAACCGUACAAGUAACAAGGUUACUAGAAGAUGAGAAGAGUAGGGCGCCCACCAAAGGCAGGACAUAGCUAGCAGAUUAACAAGACCAACACCAUAAAAGACACAAGUAGUUGUGGGGUAAUGUCGAGGGACACAAUACCAAGACUUUGCAAGGAACCUAACGCACCGCACUGGCAUGCAUACCGAACCCACGGCGCAACACAGGAGCACCAUAGUCAACGAGUGCCACGUACGAACCUUGACUACGAGCUCCGCUAAUGAAGUUCAGGACGAUUAGCAAGUUGGGGAGGCUAUUUGCGCGGCAUUGAGCAAAGAUGACCAAAGCAACACCAAGAGCACGAAGCUCGCAUCAACACAACGGUAGCCAUGAGAAGGUCUUGAGCUUGCACAGCAAGAGGGACGACACAAAGGCACCGCCGCCAAAUCCCUACAGAACACCACCAAGGACAUGCAUACGGGGUAGAGAUGGCCGCUCCACAGCACGGAGGAGUGUUGUUGCCAGACCCCGACACGCACCACCAUUACCCCAAACCAGUCACACCACCACCACCGACAACCCCACUGCUUGCAGCUAACCAACAAAACAACCUAGCCAACUUCUCGAUGAUACCUUCAAGAAGGGGCGCGGCGCACGGUUGCGCCGCCAUCAUCAGUUCCAGGUAGACCUGGAAGCAGAGUUUCCUCCUAGGUCGGGCAAAGGGUGGUGAAAUCAACAUUUUGAUGACGCCUCCAGGAAGGGUAGUGGCGCCCACGGGCGUCACUGUCGUCGGCUCUGGACAGAGCAUGGCUUUCACCGAGUUGAGCAUUCACACACCCUGUGAUUAGAUUAUUAAUGGCACACCGCACCAUCGCCCGCGCCUCAUGGCAGCACCAGCAGCCACAGGAUGCACUGGGCGCCAUGAGCGCCCCACCAAGCACCGCCACCGGCAGCAACCUCCAUCUCCCAGCCACGCACCGCCAUGCAGCCAGCAGCGAGCCGCCACCACGCCACCGGACGGAGACACCUCCACGCAUGUAGCUCAUCGUCAGGAGCAGAGUCCUUGCCGACCCAGCGGCCGAGGAUGGCAGAUCUGGACAGCGCCGGACCU